UCUCUCAAUGCAGGACACAUCUGAUGCUGUGAUAGCAACUAAUGCUCCAUUCUUGCGGGCUUCCUUGCAGGCUUUCGAAAUUGUUCGGACCGUAUCAGGAAGUUCAAACAAGUAUCCUUCCACAACCAAUAUAUUUGUUUUAGUAAUUGCCUCUGCCAAGCAUGGGUCAUAGUUUAUCCUUGAUGACGUACCCUGGUAUGCUAGCAUUGUUCGCUGAGCAUCCGAAGUUGUGAGGACUAUCACAGUUCCUGUCGUCCCAUCCUUCACUGGGGCUGAUAAAAAAUUCACAUUUGCUCGUCGAAGUUUGGAUCUGUAAAAUCCACCCAACGGAUCACUUCCAAUACUACCAGCCAAAGCUACAUUCAGAGCAGGACCAGCUAUUGGCUGACCACCAAGCCUGGCCAAGGCAACCAGACUAUUAGAAAGUGAUCCACCCGCAGCGGCCUUGUAGCUGCAUCCAUCCAUCGCACUCAGAACUUUACCCCUUUCCUCAUGAUUGACGACCUUUCUGGUACCCUUCUCUAAUCCAAGCCUUUCCAGAAAUUCGUUGUCAACCAUGCCAGAAAAAUCAACCAUAGCUUGGCCAAGGCCUAAAACAUCCCAUCUUUGAGGAAGAUCAGAAUUCGAAUAACCCGCAUCUUCCUCAUCAACAAUCAACACUUGGUCUUCAUCGUCAGUCUCAGCCCCUUGUUCAUCAUUUUCACCUGACCGAACCUCCGAACUUUCCCCGUCAGAAUUUCUACCAGAAGAGGAAAAUUCAGAUCCAAAGGAAGACGAAAAAGCCCUCGGAACCACAUAAUCGGCAGCCGACAUAGAACAACCCGAAGAAACGAAAGAACACGAACCGGAACCGAAAUUUCUAUAGCUUGACGCAACAUGACUGAAAUUAGACUGAUUCCUUAAAAGGGUUAGUAGAGAAGACGGCGGAGAUGAAGUUUCAGAAGAGAAGAAAGAAGGAAAAGUUCUGGAAACUGUAGAAGAUGAAGAAGAAGAUAAGGAGAUAAGAGAAAAAGACAUGUUUUUUAUUGUUGAAGAAUAACUAUUUUAGGUGAAAUCAAGAAUCGAGAAACAGGGUAUUUGUGGGUUAAAUGUGCUGAUUUACAAUGAAAAACGAAGCUCCGUUGGAAUAUGGAGUCCGCCGUCUUCUUCGCAGGUAGCAAAGAGCUUAGUUUGCCUGCGCGCUGAGGGCCUCAGGCUCCGGUCACCGUGAACGUGGGUCGAAG
RNAcentral lists this unclassified non-coding RNA (1223 nucleotides) under Hevea brasiliensis (rubber tree). Lineage: Eukaryota; Viridiplantae; Streptophyta; Magnoliopsida; Malpighiales; Euphorbiaceae. The record is from RNAcentral.